AUUGAACGCUGGCGGAAUGCUUUACACAUGCAAGUCGAACGGCAGCACGGGGCAACCUGGUGGCGAGUGGCGAACGGGUGAGUAAUACAUCGGAACGUGCCCAAUCGUGGGGGAUAACGUAGCGAAAGUUACGCUAAUACCGCAUACGAUCUACGGAUGAAAGCGGGGGAUCGCAAGACCUCGCGCGAAUGGAGCGGCCGAUGUCAGAUUAGGUAGUUGGUGGGGUAAAGGCUCACCAAGCCAACGAUCUGUAGCUGGUCUGAGAGGACGACCAGCCACACUGGAACUGAGACACGGUCCAGACCCCUACGGGAGGCAGCAGUGGGGAAUUUUGGACAAUGGGCGCAAGCCUGAUCCAGCCAUUCCGCGUGCAGGAUGAAGGCCUUCGGGUUGUAAACUGCUUUUGUACGGAACGAAACGGCGAGCUCUAAUACAGUUUGCUAAUGACGGUACCGUAAGAAUAAGCACCGGCUAACUACGUG
This 482-nucleotide ribosomal RNA is filed under the name uncultured bacterium. Its description in RNAcentral is "bacterial SSU rRNA". It matches the Rfam family "Bacterial small subunit ribosomal RNA", at positions 30 to 507 of the family's 1533-position model. The record is from RNAcentral.